RNAcentral lists this transfer RNA (81 nucleotides) under Stenotrophomonas maltophilia. RNAcentral describes it as "tRNA-Arg". Lineage: Bacteria; Pseudomonadati; Pseudomonadota; Gammaproteobacteria; Lysobacterales; Lysobacteraceae. The record is from RNAcentral.
AACGAGGUGGUGUAGUUGGCGAACACGGUCAGCUGCGGGUUGAACAGGUAGGACACGUUGAUCGACGGCAGCGCCUUGUUG